This is an RNA transcript of Mangifera indica (mango), 2078 nucleotides long. It is a transcript of the gene named casein kinase 1-like protein 3, with no coding region annotated. The record is from RefSeq and is a predicted model, not a curated record. The transcript is spliced from 18 exons. Lineage: Eukaryota; Viridiplantae; Streptophyta; Magnoliopsida; Sapindales; Anacardiaceae.
CAAUGAUAUGUUGUCACAAAGCAAAUUUUAACCUAACUACCUUCCGAGUAUAGUUUCAAAGGAUCAAAAAUAAAAAAAACCCCUCAUUUUUUAAACGAACGCUCUCCCUAAUACUCUUCACUCAAAACCCUAAAUCUCUCUCUCACGUUCAAAUUCAACUCAAUCCUAAAGCUUAUAGCUAAAAGAGAGAGCUGAUAUAUACACAUGGAGAGAAUCAUCGGAGAGAAGUACAGGUUAGGUCGCAAAAUUGGAAGCGGAUCUUUUGGUGAAAUAUUUCUUGCCACUCAUGUCGAAUCCAAUGAAAUCGUGGCAGUUAAAAUUGAAAACAACAAGACCAAACAUCCACAGCUGCUAUAUGAAGCCAAGAUAUAUAAGCAUCUUCAAGGAGGAAGUGGUGUUCCGAGCAUCAAAUGGUAUGGAGUAGAUGGGGAUGAUAAUGUUCUAGUUCUUGACCUGCUAGGACCAAGUCUUGAAGAUCUGUUUGUCUAUUGUGGGAGGAAGUUUUCACUGAAAUCGGUGUUGAUGUUGGCUGAUCAGAUGAUUACGAGGAUAGAAUUUGUGCAUUCCAAAGGGUUUUUACAUAGAGACAUCAAACCAGAUAACUUCCUCAUGGGUCUUGGCAGGAGAGCAAAUCAGGUCUAUAUUAUUGAUUUUGGACUUGCAAAAAGAUAUCGAGACCCCACCACAAACCGCCAUAUUCCUUACAGAGAGAACAAAAACUUAACGGGGACUGCUCGUUAUGCAAGCUGCAAUACUCAUCUAGGGAUUGAGCAAAGCCGACGGGAUGAUUUAGAGAGUCUGGGCUAUGUUCUCUUGUACUUUUUACGGGGAAGCCUCCCUUGGCAAGGUCUGAAAGCAGCUACUAAAAAGCAAAAGUAUGACAAAAUAUGUGAGAAGAAGGUAUCGACCCCUAUUGAGGUCCUGUGCAAGUCUCAUCCUGUGGAAUUCGCUUCCUACUUCCAUUAUUGUCACUCUUUAACAUUUGACCAACGACCUGAUUAUGGGUUCUUGAAACGCCUGUUCCAUGACUUGUUUACUCGAGAAGGAUUUGAAUUCGAUUACAUCUUUGACUGGACCAUUCUGAAGUACCAGCAGACACAAAAGACAAAGACACCGGCUCAAUCUUCUGAUUUGCUGCCAGCUUCUAGGGUGAUUAGCAGUCGAGCAAGGCCUAUUGAUACUGAUAAACUUAAGGGAGUCAAUGAUGCAUCAUAUUCUGGUGAGGUUAUGGAGCAGGGGGGAUCAUAUAAGCUCACUCGUCCACAUGUGGAUAUGCAUAGAUCAAUAUCUCAUAAUGUGGGUUCCAGUAACCCGGUUGAGAGGCAUAACACGAGCAAUGUACCAGUGCCAUCUACUUCAUUGACCAUGCCCAAUGCUUUCAAAAGAAAUUUCCCUGAGGGGCAAGAAGAAGCUGCAAAUGUUGGUCGUGCAAUCGGAAACAGAACUGGUGCUUCAAGCAGCUGGAUGCCAUCAUUAUACCGGAAUUCUUCUGCUAAGUAAUUGCCAUGAUUUGAAGGAAUCUGGAAACACAAUGUUGCAAGUUUUGUGAAGUUUGGGUUGCUUGAAUUCUUUGUUGCAAGAGCUGACAGAUCGUAUCAUGUAAUUUUUAUAAGGUGACUACAAGCACAGACACAUUGGAUGGUGCCAAGGCCUGGCCCAUCGAAGCUUGGUUUUUCAUGCUUGCAUAAAUGGGAAAAAUGAAUGAAGGCAGAUUCGUGUUUAAUUAUUCAAUGGAUUAUAUGAUUCUCAUGCUCUAUCCUUGUUGCUUUUUGUUUUUGGGACAAAAUGCUGGAUGUUUACCUGGAUCAGUUUGAGUCUAGGUACCCACAUCCUUCAGAAUCUGAAAAAUGAAAGGAUUUAUCCAGCAUUUCAGAUUUAUAUGAUUCAGAUUUGGUAUGAAAGAAGGUUUAUAUAUAGAAGGGAGGAGCCCACCUUGCUUGUUGAAUGGAUUUCUGAGACCUAAUAUCUUAGUGGCUAUAAGGGAAAAUAAAUCUGGGAUUUCAACGUCUUCUAAGACUUUUAAUGUGUACGAGAUAGCACUAAUAGGAGUUGAUGCAAGACACGUACGUUUCUUAUGA